GAUUUUCUUCAGGGCAGGGUGUAAUUCCCGACCGGCGGUAUAGUCCGCGAGCGAAUAGAUAUUUGCUGACAUGGUGUAAUUCCAUGACCGACAGUAUAGUCUGGAAGGAAGAAGAAAAAC
This 120-nucleotide non-coding RNA is filed under the name Clostridium sp. Its description in RNAcentral is "FMN sequence". It matches the Rfam family "FMN riboswitch aptamer (RFN element)". Rfam says of the family: The RFN element is a highly conserved domain that is found frequently in the 5'-untranslated regions of prokaryotic mRNAs that encode for flavin mononucleotide (FMN) biosynthesis and transport proteins. This element is a metabolite-dependent riboswitch that directly binds FMN in the absence of proteins. RNAcentral also lists the same sequence under 1 other name. Lineage: Bacteria; Bacillati; Bacillota; Clostridia; Eubacteriales; Clostridiaceae. The record is from RNAcentral.